GCCAGGCACAGUGGCGUGCGCCUGUAGUCUUAGCUACUCGAGAGGCUGAGGCUGGAGGACAUUUGAGACCAGGAGUUCUGGGCUAUAGUGCAUUAUGUC
RNAcentral lists this small RNA (99 nucleotides) under Cervus elaphus hippelaphus. The record is from RNAcentral. Lineage: Eukaryota; Metazoa; Chordata; Mammalia; Artiodactyla; Cervidae.